AGUGAACGCUGGCGGUAGGCCUAACACAUGCAAGUCGAACGGCAGCACAGUAAGAGCUUGCUCUUACGGGUGGCGAGUGGCGGACGGGUGAGGAAUACAUCGGAAUCUACUUUUUCGUGGGGGAUAACGUAGGGAAACUUACGCUAAUACCGCAUACGACCUACGGGUGAAAGCAGGGGAUCUUCGGACCUUGCGCGAUUGAAUGAGCCGAUGUCGGAUUAGCUAGUUGGCGGGGUAAAGGCCCACCAAGGCGACGAUCCGUAGCUGGUCUGAGAGGAUGAUCAGCCACACUAGAACUGAGACACGGUCCAGACUCCUACGGGAGGCAGCAGUGGGGAAUAUUAGACAAUGGGCGCAAGCCUGAUCCAGCCAUACCGCGUGGGUGAAGAAGGCCUUCGGGUUGUAAAGCCCUUUUAUUAGGAAAGAAAAGCAGCAGGUUAAUACCCCGCUGUUCUGACGGUACCCAAAGAAUAAGCACCGGCUAACUUCGUG
RNAcentral lists this ribosomal RNA (492 nucleotides) under uncultured bacterium. RNAcentral's name for it is "partial 16S ribosomal RNA". It matches the Rfam family "Bacterial small subunit ribosomal RNA", at positions 29 to 507 of the family's 1533-position model. The record is from RNAcentral.